GAUGAAGAACGUAGCGAAAUGCGAUACUUGGUGUGAAUUGCAGAAUCCCGUGAACCAUCGAGUCUUUGAACGCAAGUUGCGCCCGAAGCCAUUAGGCCGAGGGCACGCCUGCCUGGGCGUCACACGUCGUUGCCCCCCCAUCUACUCCUUCGGGAUUGCGGGGGGAGGAUGAUGGCCUCCCGUGCGCCUCGUCGCGCGGUUGGCCUAAAUGCCAAGUCCUCGGCGACGCACGCCACGACAAUCGGUGGUUGCGAAACCUCGGUUGCCCGUCGUGUGCGGUCGUCGCGCAUCGAGGGCUCGAAAAAAUUGCCGGGCUUCGGCUCGACUUUCAACGCGACCCCAGGUCAGGCGGGGUUACCCGCUGAAUUUAAGCAUAUCAAUAAGCGGAGGA
This 391-nucleotide unclassified non-coding RNA is filed under the name soil metagenome. RNAcentral describes it as "partial contains 5.8S ribosomal RNA, internal transcribed spacer 2, and large subunit ribosomal RNA". The stretch from base 1 to 122 matches the Rfam family "5.8S ribosomal RNA", at positions 35 to 154 of the family's 154-position model. The record is from RNAcentral.